UACGUAGGUGGCAAGCGUUAUCCGGAUUUAUUGGGCGUAAAGGGAACGCAGGCGGUCUCUUAAGUCUGAUGUGAAAGCCUUCGGCUUAACCGGAGUAGUGCAUUGGAAACUGGGAGACUUGAGUGCAGAAGAGGAGAGUGGAACUCCAUGUGUAGCGGUGAAAUGCGUAGAUAUAUGGAAGAACACCAGUGGCGAAAGCGGCUCUCUGGUCUGUAACUGACGCUGAGGUUCGAAAGCGUGGGUAGCAAACAGG
Molecule: ribosomal RNA, 253 nt
Filed under: uncultured bacterium
Lineage: Bacteria
Description: partial 16S ribosomal RNA
Rfam family: Bacterial small subunit ribosomal RNA
Source: RNAcentral